Molecule: long non-coding RNA, 726 nt
Organism: Drosophila ananassae
Lineage: Eukaryota; Metazoa; Arthropoda; Insecta; Diptera; Drosophilidae
Exons: 3
Source: RefSeq, a predicted model, not a curated record
UUUCUUUACCCUAACCUUUCUAGAUCAUCUCUGGUCUGGAAUCUCUUUGGACUGCAAGUGAGCGGCAAUUGAAGUGAUCGAGGAGCUGCAAGUGGCAAGUUGCAUGCGUCUAGCAGAAAAAAAUAGAGAAGAAUCAGAAGCUAAGCAGUUGUGGAGGUGAAUGCAGCUGCCUCGACGUUCAGUUCGAUCCCCGGGAUCGAGAUGAUCAUGAUUACGGACGGGGAUAAUUAUGAGAUGCAAUAAUAACAAAACUGAGCCAGUGCAGGCAGCUUUUACAAUUAACUUGGUGGACUGUAACACAAAAAGAUACGAGGCCGCCAGAUAGAAAGAUGCAACAGCAGUUCCAGGCAACACAAUCUACGAUGACGAGGGAAUGGCCCCCAACCUGGAGGAGCUACACAAGAAACAAAUGUUGAUAUUGUUCAGAAUUCAAUUAAAUUUUUAAACAGAGCAACAGUUGCGCCGCUUGAGUGCAUCCGUUCGUUGGAGUCCAGGGACGGCUUUUAUUAUUAUCAUUGUUCUGUUUCCUUGUCUUUUUUUUCUUUGGGCCGCUGCAAUGAAAGUAGACUCACUCGAAAACAACAAAAAACUCAAGUGAAUCGCAAUGAUAGAGAGCCCACCAGUCGUCAGCAGCAGCAGCAGCAGCAGCAACAUAAAAAACUGGAUGCAUCAUACAUAGAAAACAAUAAAAUAUAAAAGAUACUAAAAAACUAGCCUGGAGAAUGG